AUUGAGCGCUGGCGGCAGGCCUAACACAUGCAAGUCGAACGGUAGCACAGAGAGCUUGCUCUCGGGUGACGAGUGGCGGACGGGUGGGUAAUGUCUGGGAAACUGCCCGAUGGAGGGGGAUAACUACUGGAAACGGUAGCUAAUACCGCAUAACGUCGCAAGACCAAAGUGGGGGACCUUCGGGCCUCACACCAUCGGAUGUGCCCAGAUGGGAUUAGCUAGUAGGUGGGGUAAUGGCUCACCUAGGCGACGAUCCCUAGCUGGUCUGAGCGGAUGACCAGCCACAAUGGAACUGAGGCACGGGCCAGACUCCUACGGGGGGCAGCAGUGGGGAAUAUUGCACAAUGGGCGCAAGCCUGAUGCAGCCAUGCCGCGUGUAUGAAGAAGGCCUUCGGGUUGUAAAGUACUUUCAGCGGGGAGGAAGGCGGUGAAGUUAACAGCUUCACCGAUUGGCGUUACCCGCAGAAGAAGCACCGGCUAACUCCGUGCCAGCCGCCGCCGUAA
This 504-nucleotide ribosomal RNA is filed under the name uncultured bacterium. RNAcentral's name for it is "partial 16S ribosomal RNA". It matches the Rfam family "Bacterial small subunit ribosomal RNA", at positions 29 to 523 of the family's 1533-position model. The record is from RNAcentral.